Molecule: microRNA precursor, 112 nt
Organism: Dichanthelium oligosanthes
Lineage: Eukaryota; Viridiplantae; Streptophyta; Magnoliopsida; Poales; Poaceae
Rfam family: mir-399 microRNA precursor family
About the family: mir-399 was identified in both Arabidopsis thaliana and Oryza sativa computationally and was later experimentally verified. mir-399 is thought to target mRNAs coding for a phosphatase transporter. The mature sequence is excised from the 3' arm of the hairpin.
Source: Rfam
GUGAGAAUCACAGUGCAAUUCUCCUCUGGCAUGGAGGCUGGUGGAUCUAGCAGGAUCUGUCAGCAAUGCUACUGCCAUCUAUGCCAAAGGAGAAUUGCCCUGCCAUUCAGAA